This 734-nucleotide long non-coding RNA is filed under the name Parus major (Great Tit). Its description in RNAcentral is "lncRNA (ENSPMJG00000001702.1)". Lineage: Eukaryota; Metazoa; Chordata; Aves; Passeriformes; Paridae. The record is from RNAcentral.
ACCAUGAACAAGUAUGUACUGAUUAAUCACACAUCUUUUUCACAGUGUGUCUUUUUCUUACACAGACUAUUUUCUGAAGAGUCACUGCUGAUGAAGGGCACAAGUCAUCUUGCAAGGACUUCAAUCAUCUUGCUCUGUAGAGCUUCCAGGUCAAGGAGAGACAAGGCCAUGUAAAUGUAAGUGAUUCUUAAUGAGUUCUUUACCCAUAGCUUUAUUAAGGCACAAAUAACCAUAAAAUGACUCAUUCUAUUGAUUUUGAAUCCAGCAUAAGACUUAUUUCUAAACCCUGAAGAACAGUGGUUGGGAGAAAGAACAUCUUCAACCAGGGUAGUAAUUAUUGCCAGAGUAAGUUGCCUUCAAGAGUCAUUGUCAAGUAAUCAGUAAACACAUAAGAAUAAUUGCCCAUGACUUGGGAAUGCUCCUGCCUGAGCCAUGACAGGAGGAAGGAUACCCACACUAUCCUUCCUUCUGCCCAAAAGCUCCAACUGCAUUUCACUUGAACCAUGAGAAUGCAAUUCUCCCAGUGCCAGUGGAUCAUACUCCAGCAAAUCUGCAGUCACCAGGUCAGAAAUUGCUCCUGUAGGUCAGCAAUACCAGCAGAUCACAAAAAAAACCAAACCUCAGAGCAAAUCAGAAGGGAAGGUACCAAGAUGGGGCAGGAGACCCUCCAAGAUGUUGUUCUGCCCAGGACCUUGGUGUUGGAAUACAAACCAUUCAGCAGUGUAUACUGCUAG